This 290-nucleotide ribosomal RNA is filed under the name uncultured bacterium. Its description in RNAcentral is "partial 16S ribosomal RNA". It matches the Rfam family "Bacterial small subunit ribosomal RNA", at positions 773 to 1060 of the family's 1533-position model. The record is from RNAcentral.
GUGGAUUAGAUACCCGAGUAGUCCAUGCCGUAAACGAUGCCAACUCGGUGUUUGAUCCGGGAAACCGGAUUGGGUACCCAAGCAAACGCGAUAAGUUGGCCGCCUGGGGAGUACGGUCGCAAGAUUAAAACUCAAAGGAAUUGACGGGGGCCCGCACAAGCAGCGGAGCGUGUGGUUUAAUUCGAGGCUACACGAAGAACCUUACCUGGGUUUGACAUGCUAGUAGUAGGGAACCGAAAGGGGACCGACCGCAAGGAGCUAGCACAGGUGCUGCAUGGUUGUCGCCAACU